CUGCUAAGACUGGAUAGGAAACAAAAAGGCAUCUUUUUGUUUUUAAAAGACCUUCUUAUGAAGGUAUGCUUAAAGAGGGGCUUGCGCCACAUUAGUUAGUUGGUAGGGUAAAAGCCUACCAAGACGAUGAUGUGUAGCUGGACUGAGAGGUUGAACAGCCACAUUGGGACUGAGACACGGCCCAAACUCCUACGGGAGGCAGCAGUAGGGAAUUUUCGGCAAUGGAGGAAACUCUGACCGAGCAACGCCGCGUGAACGAUGAAGUAUUUCGGUAUGUAAAGUUCUUUUAUUGAAGAAGAAAAAGUAGUGGAAAAACUAUAUUGACGUUAUUCAAUGAAUAAGCCCCGGCUAACUAUGUGCCAGCAGCCGCGGUAAGACAUAGGGGGCGAGCGUUAUCCGGAAUUAUUGGGCGUAAAGGGUGCGUAGGCUGUUAGAUAAGUCUAUAAUUUAAUUUCAGUGCUUAACGCUGUUUUGUUAUAGAAACUGUCUUGACUAGAGUGAGAUAGAGGCAAGCGGAAUUCCAUGUGUAGCGGUAAAAUGUGUAAAUAUAUGGAGGAACACCAGAAGCGUAGGCGGCUUGCUGGGUCUUUACUGACGCUGAGGCACGAAAGCGUGGGUAGCAAACAGGAUUAGAUACCCUGGUAGUCCACGCCGUAAACGAUGAGUACUAAGUGUCGGGGUAAAACUCGGUACUGAAGUUAACACAUUAAGUACUCCGCCUGAGUAGUACGUACGCAAGUAUGAAACUUAAAGGAAUUGACGGGACUCCGCACAAGCGGUGGAUCAUGUUGUUUAAUUCGAAGAUACACGAAAAAUCUUACCAGGUCUUGACAUACUCUGCAAAGCUAUAGAAAUAUAGUGGAGGUUAUCAGGGAUACAGGUGGUGCAUGGUUGUCGUCAGUUCGUGUCGUGAGAUGUUAGGUUAAGUCCUAAAACGAGCGCAACCCUUGUCGUUAAUUGCCAGCACGUAAUGGUGGGGACUUUAGCGAGACUGCCAAUUAAACAUUGGAGGAAGGUGAGGAUUACGUCAAAUCAUCAUGCCCCUUAUGAUCUGGGCUACAAACGUGAUACAAUGGCUGUGACAAAGAGUAGCUGAAACGCGAGUUUUUAGCCAAUCUCAAAAAAGCAGUCUCAGUUCGGAUUGAAGUCUGUAACUCGACUUCAUGAAGUUGGAAUCGCUAGUAAUCGCGAAUCAGCAUGUCGCGGUGAAUACGUUCUCGGGGUUUGUACACACCGCCCGUCAAA
This 1245-nucleotide ribosomal RNA is filed under the name Candidatus Phytoplasma trifolii. RNAcentral's name for it is "bacterial SSU rRNA". It matches the Rfam family "Bacterial small subunit ribosomal RNA", at positions 160 to 1401 of the family's 1533-position model. The record is from RNAcentral. Lineage: Bacteria; Bacillati; Mycoplasmatota; Mollicutes; Acholeplasmatales; Acholeplasmataceae.